Molecule: ribosomal RNA, 458 nt
Filed under: uncultured bacterium
Lineage: Bacteria
Description: SSU rRNA
Rfam family: Bacterial small subunit ribosomal RNA
Source: RNAcentral
AGAAUCAACGCUGGCGGCGUGCCUAACACAUGCAAGUCGAACGAGAAAGUGGAGCAAUCCAUGAGUAAAGUGGCGCACGGGUGAGUAACACGUGACUAACCUACCCUUGAGUGGGGGAUAACCUAGAGAAAUCUGGGCUAAUACCGCAUAAUACCUUCGGGUCAAAGGAGCAAUUCGCUUAAGGAGGGGGUCGCGGCCGAUUAGUUAGUUGGCGGGGUAAUGGCCCACCAAGACUAUGAUCGGUAUCCGGCCUGAGAGGGCGCACGGACACACUGGAACUGAAACACGGUCCAGACUCCUACGGAGGCAGCAGUGGGAAUUUUGCGCAAUGGGGGAAACCCUGACGCAGCAACGCCGCGUGGAGGAUGAAGUCCCUUGGGACGUAAACUCCUUUCGAUCGGGACGAUAAUGACGGUACCGAGAGAAGAAGCCCCGGCUAACUUCGUGCCAGCAGCCGC